This 245-nucleotide ribosomal RNA is filed under the name uncultured bacterium. RNAcentral's name for it is "partial 16S ribosomal RNA". It matches the Rfam family "Bacterial small subunit ribosomal RNA", at positions 524 to 768 of the family's 1533-position model. The record is from RNAcentral.
UACAGGGGGUGCAAGCGUUACUCGGAUUUACUGGGCGUAAAGAGCGCGUAGGCGGUUUGCUAAGUCUGGUGUGAAAUCCCUGGGCCCAAUCCAGGAAGUGCAUUGGAUACUGGCAGACUAGAGUGUAGGAGGGGUUGGUGGAAUUCCUGGUGUAGAGGUGAAAUUCGUAGAUAUCAGGAGGAACAACAGUGGCGAAGGCGACCAACUGGACUAUUACUGACGCUAAGGCGCGAAAGUGUGGGGAG